AGAAUAUGACAUGGUGAAAGCUGAUCAGCAUCCGCGUGAGAUGACGUCUAUGAUGUAACUCUUUGUACAGGAUAACUACUCUCGUGAGGUAGCUGAGUACUGUACGAUAGCACGCUACUCCGUGCCAGCAGCGCGUAAUACGGAGGGUGCAAGCGUAUCCGGAUUUAUUGGGUUUAAAGGGUCCGUAGGCGGACCUGUAAGUCAGUGGUGAAAUCUCAUAGCUUAACUAUGAAACUGCCAUUGAUACUGCAGGUCUUGAGUAAAUUUGAAGUGGCUGGAAUAAGUAGUGUAGCGGUGAAAUGCAUAGAUAUUACUUAGAACACCAAUUGCGAAGGCAGGUCACUAAGAUUUAACUGACGCUGAUGGACGAAAGCGUGGGUAGCGAACAGGAUUAGAUACCCUGGUAGUCCACGCCGUAAACGAUGCUAACUCGUUUUUGGAUUUUCGGAUUCAGAGACCAAGCGAAAGUGAUAAGUUAGCCACCUGGGGAGUACGUUCGCAAGAAUGAAACUCAAAGGAAUUGACGGGGGCCCGCACAAGCGGUGGAUUAUGUGGUUUAAUUCGAUGAUACGCGAGGAACCUUACCAAGACUUAAAUGGGAAUUGACAGAUUUAGAAAUAGAUCCUUCUUCGGACAAUUUUCAAGGUGCUGCAUGGUUGUCGUCAGCUCGUGCCGUGAGGUGUUAGGUUAAGUCCUGCAACGAGCGCAACCCCUGUCACUAGUUGCUAACAUUCAGUUGAGGACUCUAGUGAGACUGCCUACGCAAGUAGAGAGGAAGGUGGGGAUGACGUCAAAUCAUCACGGCCCUUACGUCUUGGGCCACACACGUAAUACAAUGGCCGGUACAGAGGGCAGCUACACAGCGAUGUGAUGCAAAUCUCGAAAGCCGGUCUCAGUUCGGAUUGGAGUCUGCAACUCGACUCUAUGAAGCUGGAAUCGCUAGUAAUCGCGCAUCAGCCAUGGCGCGGUGAAUACGUUCCCGGGCCUUGUACACACCGCCCGUCAAGCCAUGGAAGUUUGGGGUACCUGAAGUCGGUGACCGUAAAAGGAGCUGCCUAGGGUAAAACA
Molecule: ribosomal RNA, 1068 nt
Filed under: Epilithonimonas hominis
Lineage: Bacteria; Pseudomonadati; Bacteroidota; Flavobacteriia; Flavobacteriales; Weeksellaceae
Description: bacterial SSU rRNA
Rfam family: Bacterial small subunit ribosomal RNA
Source: RNAcentral